UAGGCUUAACACAUGCAAGUCGAGGGGUAACAUUGGUGCUUGCACCAGAUGACGACCGGCGCACGGGUGAGUAACGCGUAUGCAACCUGCCUGUAACUGGAGGAUAGCCCUUGGAAACGAGGAUUAAUACUGCGUAACAUUAUUGAAUCGCAUGGUUUAAUAAUCAAAUCUACGGAGGUUACAGAUGGGCAUGCGUGCCAUUAGUUAGAUGGUGAGGUAACGGCUCACCAUGACAUCGAUGGCUAGGGGUUCUGCAAGGAAGAUCCCCCACACUGGUACUGAGACACGGACCAGACUCCUACGGGAGGCAGCAGUGAGGAAUAUUGGUCAAUGGAGGCAACUCUGAACCAGCCAAGCCGCGUGAAGGAAGACUGUUCUAUGAAUUGUAAACUUCUUUUGUGGUAGAGUAAAGAUGUCUACGUGUAGAUAUUUGCAAGUAUACCAUGAAUAAGCAUCGGCUAACUCCGUGCCAGCAGCCGCGGUAAUACGGAGGAUGCAGGCGUUAUCCGGAUUUAUUAGGUUUAAAGGGUGUCUAGGCUGCCACAUAAGUCAGGGGUGAAAGUCGGUUGCUCAACAAUCGAAUUGCCUUUGAAACUGUGUGGCUCGAGUAUAGAUGAGGUAGGCGGAAAUGUGUAGUGUAGCGGUGAAAUGCAUACAUUUUACACAGAACCCCAAUUGCGAAGCGCAGCUUACCAAACUAUUACUGACGCUGAAGCACGCAACCGUGGGUACCGAACACGAUUAGAUACCCUGGUAGUCC
RNAcentral lists this ribosomal RNA (760 nucleotides) under uncultured organism. Its description in RNAcentral is "bacterial SSU rRNA". It matches the Rfam family "Bacterial small subunit ribosomal RNA", at positions 43 to 796 of the family's 1533-position model. The record is from RNAcentral.